Andrographis paniculata is the source of this 96-nucleotide small nucleolar RNA. RefSeq annotates it as small nucleolar RNA snoR128. The record is from RefSeq and is a predicted model, not a curated record. The transcript has a single exon. Lineage: Eukaryota; Viridiplantae; Streptophyta; Magnoliopsida; Lamiales; Acanthaceae.
CUGCUAUGAUGAGAUUAUUCAACGUUUUUGAAAGCUCACCAAAGCUUGAUGUAACAUCGGCUUAAUUUUUAUCGUCGAUUCCGAGCGGUUAAGCAA